GGAGUCAUGGGAUGGAACGCGUCCCCGGUCACGCAGACGUUCCCUCUGCUGAUGUCACCCCACAGCAGGUUGAACGGGGAUCUGUAUCUCAAGUGAGCGGACGCUAGGCUGCUCAGCUCGCUCCUCCCUAUUACCUGUAAGACCUCUUGAGGAACCUUUUCGCUCUUCAGCUUGCUCAGUACAAAUUCCUUCACCUUAAUAACAUCUUUGUUCCAUUCUUCGUCUGCAAACAAAUAAUCAUAAUAUAUAUAUAUAUAUAAAAGAAAUCCAAACAUGCAAGCGGGCAGUGGAGGAAGUCACACCAUUUGCUCCGGCAGCCCAUGUGAAGAACCAGUACAUGCUGUUGUCAUCGCAGGGCAACAACCCUGCUCGAUAGCCUCUCCCGAAGUACUGCGCAAACUCCGGCUUGAAUCCGUGCCCCUCUUCAAACACGGCGAAGCCUCUUGCUGCGUAGCGCCCGGAGAAGGUCGGCUCCUUGAGGCCCAGCCAUUUGGCUACAGUGGAGUUGAUCCCAUCGCAGCCGAUCAAGACCUGCAGAAACCAUGCAAACCAAUGGUGCGGAAACUGAUCUCCCUCUCCGAUUGCUCUUUCUCAGGUGAUGCACAUAAAAGAUCGUCCGUACCUUGGCUUUGAGCGUGGAUCCAUCUGCCAAGUGGAGGAGCUUGAAUCGACCUGCGUCCUCCAUGGAGACCACCUUGGACGAGUACCUGAUGGUACCUUGUGGAAGCUCCUUGGCUAGGGCU
This 743-nucleotide long non-coding RNA is filed under the name Musa acuminata (dwarf banana). Its description in RNAcentral is "long non-coding RNA (MACU_LNC009430)". Lineage: Eukaryota; Viridiplantae; Streptophyta; Magnoliopsida; Zingiberales; Musaceae. The record is from RNAcentral.